UGGGGAAUUUUGCGCAAUGGGCGAAAGCCUGACGCAGCGACGCCGCGUGGGUGUUGAAGGCCUUCGGGUUGUAAAGCCCUGUGGGGAGGGAAGAAUAAGGGGCGGCUAAUACCCGCACCGAUGACGGUACCUCCUUAGCAAGCACCGGCUAACUCUGUGCCAGCAGCCGCGGUAAGACAGAGGGUGCAAACGUUGUUCGGAAUUACUGGGCGUAAAGCGCAUGUAGGCGGUCUAGCAAGUCGGAUGUGAAAGCCCUUGGCUCAACUGAGGAAGUGCAUUCGAAACUGCGAGACUUGAGUCCCGGAGAGGAUGGUGGAAUUCUCGGUGUAGAGGUGAGAUUCGUAGAUAUCGAGAGGAACACCGGUGGCGAAGGCGGCCAUCUGGACGGUGACUGACGCUGAGACGCGAAAGCAUGGGGAGCAAACAG
This 427-nucleotide ribosomal RNA is filed under the name uncultured bacterium. Its description in RNAcentral is "bacterial SSU rRNA". It matches the Rfam family "Bacterial small subunit ribosomal RNA", at positions 355 to 775 of the family's 1533-position model. The record is from RNAcentral.